RNAcentral lists this ribosomal RNA (934 nucleotides) under Crepidotus sp. RNAcentral's name for it is "partial large subunit ribosomal RNA". It matches the Rfam family "Eukaryotic large subunit ribosomal RNA", at positions 35 to 957 of the family's 3401-position model. The record is from RNAcentral. Lineage: Eukaryota; Fungi; Basidiomycota; Agaricomycetes; Agaricales; Crepidotaceae.
UAAGCAUAUCAAUAAGCGGAGGAAAAGAAACUAACAAGGAUUCCCCUAGUAACUGCGAGUGAAGCGGGAAAAGCUCAAAUUUGAAAUCUGGCAGUCUCUGAUUGUCCGAGUUGUAAUCUAGAGAAGUGUUACCCGCGUUGGACCGUGUACAAGUCUCCUGGAAUGGAGCGUCAUAGAGGGUGAGAAUCCCGUCUUUGACACGGACUCCCAAGGCUUUGUGGUGCGCUCUCAAAGAGUCGAGUUGUUUGGGAAUGCAGCUCAAAAUGGGUGGUAAAUGCCAUCUAAAGCUAAAUACAGGCGAGAGACCGAUAGCGAACAAGUACCGUGAGGGAAAGAUGAAAAGAACUUUGGAAAGAGAGUUAAACAGUACGUGAAAUUGCUGAAAGGGAAACGCUUGAAGUCAGUCGCGUUGGCUGGGAAUCAACCUUGCUUUUGUUGGGUGUACUUUCCAGUUGAUGGGUCAGCAUCAGUUUUGACCAGUGGAAAAAGGCGUAGGAAAUGUGGCUUCUUCGGAAGUGUUAUAGUCCUGCGUUGUAUACAUUGGUUGGGACUGAGGAACUCAGCACGCCGAAAGGCCGGGGCUCGCCCACGUACGUGCUUAGGAUGCUGGCAAAAUGGCUUUAAUCGACCCGUCUUGAAACACGGACCAAGGAGUCUAACAUGCCUGCGAGUGUUUGGGUGGUAAACCCGAGCGCGUAAUGAAAGUGAAAGUUGAGAUCCCUGUCGUGGGGAGCAUCGACGCCCUGACCAGACCUUCUGUGACGGAUCAGCGGUAGAGCAUGUAUGUUGGGACCCGAAAGAUGGUGAACUAUGCCUGAAUAGGGUGAAGCCAGAGGAAACUCUGGUGGAGGCUCGUAGCGAUUCUGACGUGCAAAUCGAUCGUCAAAUUUGGGUAUAGGGGCGAAAGACUAAUCGACCAUCUAGUAGCUGGUCC